Mercenaria mercenaria is the source of this 1013-nucleotide long non-coding RNA. RefSeq lists it as uncharacterized. Lineage: Eukaryota; Metazoa; Mollusca; Bivalvia; Venerida; Veneridae. The record is from RefSeq and is a predicted model, not a curated record. The transcript is spliced from 2 exons.
AUACGAAGAUAACGGUAGGUUUGCGUUUUUUUGGUUGCGGAAGAAAUUGGAUUUACAAAUGGAAUUAUAAAUGUUUUAAGGAAAUUUACAGCUAGUUUCGAGUUUCUCGAGUAAGAACUUGGAUUGUAGUAAAGGAGAACUGAAGUAAAACUUGCUUAUCCGUUUAAUCUUCUAUCUAAGCUGUUCAGCCUCGGGUCGCGUGUACAGUACUUUUAGCCUGAACACGGAAGUAGAGUGAAUAUGUCAUGAUGUGCCAAAGAAGUACCAGUACUCACAGUAGCUCUUUGGAUGUUCAUAUAACGUGGAAAACUAGGAAAAAUCAAAUGUUAGAUGUCAGGUCAUCUAAGUGCAAUCAGAUGAUGUUAUUCAACAUGCUGUGGCUGCAUUGAACUAGAAGUCAUUUCAGGAACAGAAUCCAGGGAUCAUAAGAGAAAUGUAUGUAUAGCCAAUGAUGAUGAUACCUGCUGGCCAAUCACUGCCAAAGAAUAACCUAUUCACAGAAAUAUGGCAUCUUUCACACAUAUGGAAUGGAACAUUUUUGCCAAGAUGCUACAUAAACUCUGACACCGAGAAUAUGGCACCUUUCCCACAUAUGGAAUGGAAAAAUUUUGCCAAGACGCUACAUAAACUCUGACACCGAGAAUAUGGCACCUUUUACACAUAUGGAAUGGAACAUUUUUGCCAAGACACUACAUAAACUCUGACACCGAGAAUAUGGCACCUUUCACACAGUCAUAUGGAAUGGAACAUUUUUGCAAAGAUGCAACAUAAACUCUGACACCGAACGUACAUUACGACUAGUAGGACAAUAAUGGUAACAUAAAUUAUACCAUGUUAAAAACUCUUGUCUUCAGUAUUGCUGCAGCCGGUCAGAUUUUGGAUUUAAUAAAUGUAUUUCAUGAAGUCACUUACAGGACAGUACCUAUUGUCAAAUUAACUGUGUCAUAUGACAUAAGCCCUGCUAAGUCAUUACUAACACUAAGUCUUGUCAACAAAUAUAUUUAUUGCUUAGA